UCGGCGAGAUGACCAAGA
Molecule: small nuclear RNA, 18 nt
Filed under: Arabidopsis thaliana (thale cress)
Lineage: Eukaryota; Viridiplantae; Streptophyta; Magnoliopsida; Brassicales; Brassicaceae
Description: snRNA_13695
Source: RNAcentral